UAGGGAAUCUUCCGCAAUGGACGCAAGUCUGACGGAGCAACGCCGCGUGAGUGAAGAAGGAUUUCGGUUCGUAAAACUCUGUUGUUGGAGAAGAACAGCGCAUAGAGUAACUGUUAUGCGUGUGACGGUAUCUAACCAGAAAGCCACGGCUAACUACGUGCCAGCAGCCGCGGUAAUACGUAGGUGGCAAGCGUUGUCCGGAUUUAUUGGGCGUAAAGCGAGCGCAGGCGGUCAAUUAAGUCUGAUGUGAAAGCCCCCGGCUCAACCGGGGAGGGUCAUUGGAAACUGGUUGACUUGAGUGCAGAAGAGGAGAGUGGAAUUCCAUGUGUAGCGGUGAAAUGCGUAGAUAUAUGGAGGAACACCAGUGGCGAAGGCGACUCUCUGGUCUGUAACUGACGCUGAGGUUCGAAAGCGUGGGUAGCAAACAGG
This 429-nucleotide ribosomal RNA is filed under the name Bacteroidota bacterium. RNAcentral's name for it is "Bacteroidetes bacterium partial 16S ribosomal RNA". It matches the Rfam family "Bacterial small subunit ribosomal RNA", at positions 355 to 776 of the family's 1533-position model. The record is from RNAcentral. Lineage: Bacteria; Pseudomonadati; Bacteroidota.